RNAcentral lists this transfer RNA (75 nucleotides) under Sandaracinaceae bacterium. Its description in RNAcentral is "tRNA-Asn". It matches the Rfam family "tRNA". From Rfam's summary of the family: Transfer RNA (tRNA) molecules are approximately 80 nucleotides in length. Their secondary structure includes four short double-helical elements and three loops (D, anti-codon, and T loops). Lineage: Bacteria; Pseudomonadati; Myxococcota; Polyangiales; Sandaracinaceae. The record is from RNAcentral.
UCCGGGAUAGCUCAGUGGUAGAGCGAUCGGCUGUUAACCGAUUGGUCGCAGGUUCAAAUCCUGCUCCCGGAGCCA